RNAcentral lists this ribosomal RNA (279 nucleotides) under uncultured bacterium. Its description in RNAcentral is "partial 16S ribosomal RNA". It matches the Rfam family "Bacterial small subunit ribosomal RNA", at positions 506 to 784 of the family's 1533-position model. The record is from RNAcentral.
UGCCAGCCGCCGCGGUAAUACGGGGGGAGCGAGCGUUAAUCGGAAUUACUGGGCGUAAAGCGCGCGUAGGCGGCUUUGUAAGUCGGAUGUGAAAGCCCCGGGCUUAACCUGGGAAUGGCAUUCGAUACUGCAGAGCUAGAGUAUGGUAGAGGGAAGUGGAAUUUCCGGUGUAGCGGUGAAAUGCGUAGAUAUCGGAAGGAACACCGGUGGCGAAGGCGGCUCACUGGCUCGAUACUGACGCUGAGGUACGAAAGUGUGGGGAGCAAACAGGAUUAGAUA